This 116-nucleotide ribosomal RNA is filed under the name Vibrio sp. Lineage: Bacteria; Pseudomonadati; Pseudomonadota; Gammaproteobacteria; Vibrionales; Vibrionaceae. The record is from RNAcentral.
CUUGGCGACCAUAGCGUUGUGGACCCACCUGAUCCCUUUCCGAACUCAGAAGUGAAACACAGUAGCGCCGAUGGUAGUGUGGGGUUUCCCCAUGUGAGAGUAGGACAUCGCCAGGC